Molecule: transfer RNA, 92 nt
Filed under: Ramlibacter algicola
Lineage: Bacteria; Pseudomonadati; Pseudomonadota; Betaproteobacteria; Burkholderiales; Comamonadaceae
Description: Ramlibacter sp. CrO1 tRNA-Leu
Rfam family: tRNA
About the family: Transfer RNA (tRNA) molecules are approximately 80 nucleotides in length. Their secondary structure includes four short double-helical elements and three loops (D, anti-codon, and T loops).
Source: RNAcentral
GCCUCGGUGGUGGAACUGGCAGACACAGCGGACUUAAAAUCCGCCGCUUGCUGAAAGGCGGCGUACGGGUUCGACCCCCGUCCGAGGCACCA